AUUAAGUUAGUUUAUCAAUUAAAAUACCAGCCUGUGGAUCUGGAGAUAAGAAGUACUCUUACUUAAUC
This 68-nucleotide transfer RNA is filed under the name Polinices sagamiensis. RNAcentral's name for it is "tRNA-His". It matches the Rfam family "tRNA". From Rfam's summary of the family: Transfer RNA (tRNA) molecules are approximately 80 nucleotides in length. Their secondary structure includes four short double-helical elements and three loops (D, anti-codon, and T loops). Lineage: Eukaryota; Metazoa; Mollusca; Gastropoda; Littorinimorpha; Naticidae. The record is from RNAcentral.